This 253-nucleotide ribosomal RNA is filed under the name uncultured Opitutus sp. RNAcentral describes it as "partial 16S ribosomal RNA". It matches the Rfam family "Bacterial small subunit ribosomal RNA", at positions 524 to 776 of the family's 1533-position model. The record is from RNAcentral. Lineage: Bacteria; Pseudomonadati; Verrucomicrobiota; Opitutia; Opitutales; Opitutaceae.
UACAGAGACUGCAAGCGUUAUUCGGAUUCACUGGGCGUAAAGGGUGCGCAGGCGGCCGUGUGUGUUAGGCGUGAAAGCCUGAGGCUUAACCUCAGAAUUGCACCUAAAACUACACGGCUAGAGUACUGGAGAGGGUAGCGGAAUUCACGGUGUAGCAGUGAAAUGCGUAGAUAUCGUGAGGAACACCAAUGGCGAAGGCAGCUACCUGGACAGUUACUGACGCUCAGGCACGAAAGCGUGGGGAGCAAAAGGG